CAAGUGGCGAGGCUACCAUGCAAGUCGAGCGGUAGAGAGAAGCUUGCUUCUCUUGAGAGCGGCGGACGGGUGAGUAAUGCCUAGGAAUCUGCCUGGUAGUGGGGGAUAACGCUCGGAAACGGACGCUAAUACCGCAUACGUCCUACGGGAGAAAGCAGGGGACCUUCGGGCCUUGCGCUAUCAGAUGAGCCUAGGUCGGAUUAGCUAGUUGGUGAGGUAAUGGCUCACCAAGGCGACGAUCCGUAACUGGUCUGAGAGGAUGAUCAGUCACACUGGAACUGAGACACGGUCCAGACUCCUACGGGAGGCAGCAGUGGGGAAUAUUGGACAAUGGGCGAAAGCCUGAUCCAGCCAUGCCGCGUGUGUGAAGAAGGUCUUCGGAUUGUAAAGCACUUUAAGUUGGGAGGAAGGGCAGUUACCUAAUACGUAUCUGUUUUGACGUUACCGACAGAAUAAGCACCGGCUAACUCUGUGCCAGCAGCCGCGGUAAUACAGAGGGUGCAAGCGUUAAUCGGAAUUACUGGGCGUAAAGCGCGCGUAGGUGGUUUGUUAAGUUGGAUGUGAAAUCCCCGGGCUCAACCUGGGAACUGCAUUCAAAACUGACAAGCUAGAGUAUGGUAGAGGGUGGUGGAAUUUCCUGUGUAGCGGUGAAAUGCGUAGAUAUAGGAAGGAACACCAGUGGCGAAGGCGACCACCUGGACUGAUACUGACACUGAGGUGCGAAAGCGUGGGGAGCAAACAGGAUUAGAUACCCUGGUAGUCCACGCCGUAAACGAUGUCAACUAGCCGUUGGGAGCCUUGAGCUCUUAGUGGCGCAGCUAACGCAUUAAGUUGACCGCCUGGGGAGUACGGCCGCAAGGUUAAACUCAAAUGAAUUGACGGGGGCCCGCACAAGCGG
Molecule: ribosomal RNA, 898 nt
Filed under: Pseudomonas prosekii
Lineage: Bacteria; Pseudomonadati; Pseudomonadota; Gammaproteobacteria; Pseudomonadales; Pseudomonadaceae
Description: bacterial SSU rRNA
Rfam family: Bacterial small subunit ribosomal RNA
Source: RNAcentral